ACGAACGCUGGCGGCGUGCCUAAUACAUGCAAGUCGAGCGGACUGAUUAAGAGCUUGCUCUUAUGACGUUAGCGGCGGACGGGUGAGUAACACGUGGGCAACCUGCCCUGUAGAUCGGGAUAACACCGAGAAAUCGGUGCUAAUACCGGGUAAUAUCUGAGAUCACAUGAUCUUAGGUUAAAAGAUGGCUCCGGCUAUCACUACAGGAUGGGCCCGCGGCGCAUUAGCUAGUUGGUAAGGUAAUGGCUUACCAAGGCGACGAUGCGUAGCCGACCUGCGAGGGUGAUCGGCCACACUGGGACUGAGACACGGCCCAGACUCCUACGGGAGGCAGCAGUAGGGAAUCUUCCGCAAUGGACGAAAGUCUGACGGAGCAACGCCGCGUGAGUGAUGAAGGGUUUCGGCUCGUAAAGCUCUGUUGUUAGGGAAGAAACAGUACCGAACGAACUAGGUCGGUACCUUGACGGUACCUAACCAGAAAGCCACGGCUAACUACGUG
Molecule: ribosomal RNA, 499 nt
Filed under: uncultured bacterium
Lineage: Bacteria
Description: partial 16S ribosomal RNA
Rfam family: Bacterial small subunit ribosomal RNA
Source: RNAcentral